UGUCACAAAGCACGUGAGAAGGUUUGUCAGUGGAAAAUCGAUACGUUUCGGUGUCAAAUAAACCCCGUCUUACCCCUUAUCUAAACUUUCCGCCAUAACUAUUUAGGUUGAGUCCAUAUUUUGCAAAACAUCAUCCAGGUUAUUACUUUCAAUCAUGAUCUAAUCCAUGGAACCCAUUAUUAAAUGAAAAUAUUCUAAACAAUUGUCUAAAUAUGAAUUCCAGUCGAACAAAUAUCUCACAACAACAUAAAAUUAAGUAAUAAACGAACCUCUUGGUCGUACAAUUCGACGUGGUUUGAUGUCAUCUGUGGUCUCUGUAAUGACAAUAGUGACUUCACAAACUUCUACGGGGUCCAAAGAAUUUCCUUCUGACUGAAGAACAUUUUUGGACGCAUUCGAAAGUUUUGAAUCACUAAUUGCAUAUGAUUGCAUAACGUUCGACAUUGUUUAAGAAAAUUAAAAAACUUCGCGUUAAAAACGAUGUGCUGAAAUACUGUUGGACUUACUGGAAAAUUAUACUUGGGGGUUCAUAGAGGGGAGAACAGGACACUGUCCUUUUUGCGCAAGCGUCAACUUGGAUCAUAUUCUAUCGAAACAACCAUAUAAAUAUAUCUUUUUAUUUUUAUGUUAAAUGAUAUUGAAGAGAUAUAAUUUAUUAUAAUGAUUUCUCAACAGUCAUUUUAAUUGGCAAUAAAUUCAAGAUCACUUUCCUUUCUGUUAUAGGAAAAGUUAUAUUGGGAUCGCAAUGAUAUUUAAUAUACAUCAGGAUAGUUCAUUGACGUCACAUUUAUGUCAACGUGUGACUGAUUGUGUUCCUGGAAUGGGUGUGAGUAAAGUGGAUAUAGUUUCUAGUUAAUUGCAGAAAUGGAAAAUUAUUCAGAAAAACAUGAAAUAAGGGUGGAGGCGUGGUUAUUUGAUGAUAUAUUUUAUUGAGGUUCCCUAACAGAAACUAUUUCUAGAACUACCUUCUCAGGUUUUGCUGUUCGAUUUGACACCAUCAAGUUAUUUAUAAAGGUACAUGUACAUAGCUUAGUGAGUUCGGCGACCCACAGCAUAAUUCAAAUAUCGGAUGGGAUAUUUUUGAAACAAUGAAUAUUCGCAUGUUGUUGGACAUUUUGAAACUUACCUGAAACAAAAAAAAAACCACAUAUAUAUAAUAACAGUUUCUUACGAAUUGCAAAAAAAAAAAUUAUCAAUUCAAUAUAUUUU
Long non-coding RNA from Chelonus insularis, 1209 nucleotides. RefSeq lists it as uncharacterized. The transcript has 3 exons. The record is from RefSeq and is a predicted model, not a curated record. NCBI's taxonomy places the organism in Eukaryota, Metazoa, Arthropoda, Insecta, Hymenoptera, Braconidae.